RNAcentral lists this long non-coding RNA (384 nucleotides) under Sorghum bicolor (sorghum). RNAcentral describes it as "long non-coding RNA (SBIC_LNC011433)". Lineage: Eukaryota; Viridiplantae; Streptophyta; Magnoliopsida; Poales; Poaceae. The record is from RNAcentral.
AAUUGGGACAUUUGACCCAAAAAGGACACCAUGUGCUCGCUCUGAAAAUAUUCAAUAUCCUCAUCAGCUAAAGGUGGGCCAUAAUAAUGUAAGGUAUGGAGCUCCUUUUUACGACAGUUCUUCGGUGCAGGAAAUCUCCUUUCGAGGUAAACAUGCCUUAGAGUAGGAAUGUCCCAUAUAGAGUUUGGUACUGGCACUGCUGGUUCCGUAGAGAAUCUGAUGUUUGUUAGGUCUAUAGUUUGCAGGUAAAGGAAUUGUCCAAUUGAAGAAGGGAGCGUGACAUCAUUACAAUCUUUUAACCUGAGAUAUCUUAUGUAAAUGCACCCACUGAUCGCCCUACUGAAAUUCAGUAGGUUCGAUUUUUCUACAUGGAGAACUCUUAGG